RNAcentral lists this small RNA (28 nucleotides) under Bombyx mori (domestic silkworm). RNAcentral describes it as "ovarian small RNA-12317". Lineage: Eukaryota; Metazoa; Arthropoda; Insecta; Lepidoptera; Bombycidae. The record is from RNAcentral.
AGUUGCUGCACGAGGCCAAGAUGGCGCU